Long non-coding RNA from Scatophagus argus, 1556 nucleotides. RefSeq lists it as uncharacterized. The record is from RefSeq and is a predicted model, not a curated record. The transcript has 3 exons. Lineage: Eukaryota; Metazoa; Chordata; Actinopteri; Scatophagidae.
CUCCUCUUUGGCGAUGGUCGUCUCUCAUGGCUCCUACUCGACGAUGACUGUUUCUCGUCUCUCCUCCUUGGUGAAGAUCGUCUCUCUGGACUUCUUGAUCGUGACCGAUAGCGAGAAGAGGUCGGGUAGUCGUUCCAUGCCAUGUUGGCGACGGGGACUGUGCGAUCGGGAGCGGGAGCGACUUCCAUGCCUUGUUCUCUGGCGAUGACGGUGGGAAGUCUUUGCAGUGGUUGAGGCUGAGGACUUAACUGUUUCUCUGAAGAGAACAAUGGAUGAAAAAAGCACAGGGCGGUAGUGCAACAACAUUGAAGACGUAGCCAUCUUGUAUGGAACUGUCAGCGGACAUAACCGAAGCUUGAUCUCCACAGAGUGAGUAUGAAAGUGGCAGGUUCUGGCUGCGUUACAAAAUGUGAGUCAACAUGUAAGAUCAAUAAAACUGAACAGUGUCUGCCCAUCUUAAGAAAUUUACCUGGCCUCAAGUGUUAUCUCACCAUCCCACUCUGGGUAUCUGUGGGGGAAAAAGAAUUCAAACUAUUAAAAGAGCAAAGAGGCCACAUUAAUGACAAAAAAGCUAAAGAUUCCUGUCUUGAGGUAGAUGGUCGUAAUCUGCAGAACAGAAUGACAAAACAGCUUUUAGGUGCUUUAAGGACCUUAGCAAUGAGCUUUGUGGGUUGUCUCACCAAGCUGAGAGCAGACACAAAAAGCACAAGAACAAUCCUGAGGAAGAGCUUAGAGAAUUACAAUCUUUUUUUUUUUCCCCUGGCCAGUGUUUCCUCCACAGUAUUUUGGCACAACACUGCAGGGUUUCCUCCAAAUAUAUUCAGAAAAUAACUCAAAUUAACAAGACCUUUAUAAGGCAAACAAUAAAAGGAAAAAAAGGACUGACCGUGUUCGCAGGAGUUUGCAUUUCUCAAGGUGAAUGCUGGUGUUCUGGUGGGAGAUCCAGUCCUAGUAGUCAGAACAAGAGUAUUUAGACAGACCUCAUUAUCAUCAAAACUGCUAUCAGAUUCAACAUCUCAACUGGUUUUAUAGCAUUCGACAACACAUAUUUUUUAUUUUUUUAAAAUCAAAAGUAGGCUUUAGCCCAGAUGAAGAGCAGACAGCAUUAACAAACAGCAAAUAAAAAGCUGUGUUUAAAUCAUGACUUUGUCAAUUGUGAAAACAUGUCUCAUAUCUUUAAAAUUAUUUAAAGACAUAAAACUUUACCCAUUCUUCCCUUAACAGUCAGGAUGAGUUCAAGGGCAAUAAGUCUUGGAAAUUUAACAAACACAGGAGUGCCAUUAGCAAACAACCAAAACACACAACUUCUUGUUGAUUAUCCGACAUUUGGUUCUUCAGUUUCUUCAAGUUUGGUGAAGGUCAUCUCAGCAGAGGACAAAAACACGACCGGACAAAUGGAGUUGAGGCAGGAGGACGUGGAAAACUGGAGCUGGCGCCUUUUUGUAAUUAACCAAAGUGUCAAAUUCAGGAUUCCGCAAGGAAGAAAAUAAUCACAACAGGUGGUCAAGGGAAACCGCUGAUUGUGUGGUUCACGAAGUAAGAUGAUUGCGGCUGGC